This is a non-coding RNA of Pantherophis guttatus, 1195 nucleotides long. The record is from RefSeq and is a predicted model, not a curated record. NCBI's taxonomy places the organism in Eukaryota, Metazoa, Chordata, Lepidosauria, Squamata, Colubridae.
CAGCACUAGCAAGGCAGUAGCUUGCGCAGUUAUCUCCACAGCGGGCAGUAUCACAACCCGAAGAACAGCACAAACUACUACCUCAGCCAGGGUCAUGGUGCACCCGACCUAUCUUGAAUGGGGAAGGGAAGGCGGGGACGAGAAGGAAGGGGAAAAAGAAAAGCGAGAGAGAUGGAAAGCAUGCUCAACUUUCAACGAAGCGAAAUCUCCAAAGAGAACUGAAGAAAGAUUUUCGCCCCUUUAUCUGCCGCAGACAUCAGCCCGGGUCUUGUCCUCGCCUGGCUACGAGAACCCCGCCCCGAUCGCUCAUCUCCCCACCAGCGUUGCCAUUUUCCUCGCCUGUCCUGAACAUCUCGUUCAUUAGGCACAUUACAGGCCCCAGCUGUGAGCGUCGCGGGCCGCAUAAUAAGUCAGUCGCCCGCAGCGCCACAGAGAGGAAAAAUCCCUGAGGUAAUCCACGGUGCUGCACCCGCUUUUUCUUCCCUCAGCGGUCACUCGCCUUUGUUCGAGCAACGAGGGUACCCUCUGCAGACAUGCAUCGCCUCAGUUUAGGAGGAAAAAGCAGUUCACAAAGAGCCGCCCAGCGAGGCGCCAUUCCGAGCGGUCCACGACUGCAGAACUAAACCUUUCUGACGGCAUGUCUUUGACGCUCCCGCCGCUUUCGGCUCCCCUUCCAGCCCACACGGCUUUCUCGGAAAGGAUGAGAAAACUCGCCUCCGCUGGCUGCCUCUCGCGCGCCCAACCGGCUGAACCAUAGAGAACAGGGGAGGUGAAGGGCUCGUAAAUUAUCACGUGAUUAGACUGUGUGUCGUAAAGGCUGUUGCCAGCGCCAUUUUGAGCCAGAGGGAGUGGGGGCGGGGGAAUAAAAUAAGGCAGAUUAGAGUUCUUUUUCUUGCUUAUUUUGUCGGGAAGCAAUGUGAAGAUCGAACCUUUACGAUUCGAAACCCCGAAGAAAGUUGGAAUUUGUAUGGAUUUCCACUGCAACCCACUUUUCUGUCCUAUUGUCACUUUAGGGGGGCAUUCAGCAGAAAACGAAAAUCAGCGGGAAACUUGAAAGGCUACCCUUUUCGCGCUCUUAGUGAGGAAUAGUGGGAAAUGUAGUUCAGAAUGCGCUAACGAACCAGCGGCAACACUUUUCGUGAAGAAAUGACGAAGAUUUGCUCGUAAAAUAAACGCAUUUUGAAUAGCAGAGAAA